This 253-nucleotide ribosomal RNA is filed under the name uncultured bacterium. RNAcentral's name for it is "partial 16S ribosomal RNA". It matches the Rfam family "Bacterial small subunit ribosomal RNA", at positions 524 to 776 of the family's 1533-position model. The record is from RNAcentral.
UACGUAGGGGGCAAGCGUUGUCCGGAUUCAUUGGGCGUAAAGAGCGUGUAGGCGGCCAGGUAGGUCGGUUGUGAAAACUGGAGGCUCAACCUUCAGAGGUCGACCGAAACCAUCUGGCUAGAGUCCGGGAGAGGAGAGUGGAAUUCCUGGUGUAGCGGUGAAAUGCGUAGAUAUUGGGAGGAACACCAGUGGCGAAGGCGGCUCACUGGACCGGAACUGACGCUGAGGCGCGAAAGCGUGGGGAGCAAACAGG